CACGUAGGGGGCGAGCGUUGUCCGGAAUCAUUGGGCGUAAAGAGCUCGUAGGCGGCUCAGUAAGUCGGGUGUGAAACCCCCAGGCUCAACCUGGGGACGCCACCCGAUACUGCUGUGGCUAGAGUCCAGUAGGGGAGUGUGGAAUUCCCGGUGUAGCGGUGAAAUGCGUAGAUAUCUGGAGGAACACCGGUGGCGAAGGCGGCAUUCUGGACUGUAACUGACACUGAGGAACGAAAGCCAGGGGAGCAAACGGG
Molecule: ribosomal RNA, 254 nt
Filed under: uncultured bacterium
Lineage: Bacteria
Description: partial 16S ribosomal RNA
Rfam family: Bacterial small subunit ribosomal RNA
Source: RNAcentral